RNAcentral lists this long non-coding RNA (1085 nucleotides) under Podarcis muralis (Common wall lizard). RNAcentral's name for it is "lncRNA (ENSPMRG00000001411.1)". Lineage: Eukaryota; Metazoa; Chordata; Lepidosauria; Squamata; Lacertidae. The record is from RNAcentral.
UUUUAGCUGUUUACAAUUGUCUUUAAGAUAAGUUAUAAAUUUUCCCCAUUCCUUAUUAAAAAUGUUGGUCUUCCUGGUUCUCAUUUGUUUCUUGUGUGCUCUCUUCAAAGUAUUGUUUCCUUCUUUUCUGCUGGCUCCAUUUCUUUUCAUCUGAGUGGUCUCUGAAUCCCUCUCUUCCGCCUUUCAUCUAAAUGCCUCAUGCUUCAUAAAGAGUAGCCCUGUUGCUAAGAGCUCCAGGACUUUUGCCACCAAUGAAAUACAUCUCGUUCCCAAUGUACCUCCACGUGGGCAAUGCCUCAAGGCAUCGGGUCUCUAGCGGACAUUUUGCUAGACAGCACUCUCCCCUAUAGGGGAGAAAAAUGUUUCCUGUGGUUCUCUUCACCAAGACUGGAGUUGCUCAGAGGCUGCUGGGAGAACUGAUUUCUCUUCACCUUGCCCUGGCUCCAUCUGCCCCUUCUGAGAAGUGGGAGCUGUGAUUGAAAGAGGCACCUGUUGGCUUCCUGAUAAAAAUAGGAGCGUCCAGUUACCCAUCACAGUAGGGAGGGUGGGUGUAUCAACAGAGUAGUAAACAAUGAGAAAAGGCACAGCAUGCACAGUGGAGGGGCGAGAGAGGCUGAGAGGAGGCCAGGAGGAGGAAGCAGGAGAAGGAGAGAGCAAGGGAGAGACUGAGCAGAAGACCAGCCGCUUGCUUUUCCCUGGGAGAGGUAACUUCAGAUGAAAUGGGAGAUAUAGGCUGGCGCUUUAAUGGCAACGAAUUGGCUGCUAAGACCCUGCAUGCAUGAAGAACAGUGAUCCCACAAUAAACCCUGUCUGGAAACACCCUCCCACUGUAUUCAUUGGGGCUUACUCUCAGGAAAGUGCGUAUAAUUCAGCCUUCAUGAUCUGCCUCUAACUAUCUGGUAGUACAAGGAGCUGAGCUUAAAUAAAUCUCAACAAGCCGACUAGUUUUCUUAUGCCUCCAAUAAUCCAUUUCAAAAUCUUGGAAGACGUACAGUCACCCACCACCUUUGUGCACCUAUAUUCUCAGGGGAAAGAUGAGCAGAGAUGCCAAAGCUCCUCAGGCUCAAUCUGGUUAUGUAUAUAAG